This 121-nucleotide ribosomal RNA is filed under the name uncultured bacterium. RNAcentral describes it as "partial 16S ribosomal RNA". It matches the Rfam family "Bacterial small subunit ribosomal RNA", at positions 1365 to 1482 of the family's 1533-position model. The record is from RNAcentral.
AAUACGUUCCCGGGCCUUGUACACACCGCCCGUCACACCUACGAAAGUCGGCAACACCCGAAGCCGGUGGCCUAACCCGUAAGGGGAGGAGCCGUCGAAGGUGGGGUCGGUGAUUGGGGUG